Molecule: long non-coding RNA, 2496 nt
Organism: Oncorhynchus tshawytscha (Chinook salmon)
Lineage: Eukaryota; Metazoa; Chordata; Actinopteri; Salmoniformes; Salmonidae
Source: Ensembl
CACCUGCAAUCAAUUAACACAAACACAACCAAUUAGUUCAAACUGACCAAUAGCAAGCUCACAAUCUCAUUGCUAUCAUAUUUAAUUUAAUUGAGGCACCUCCAUCUUGUUACAGAACUCCAAGAUUUCCUUUGGCUGAGAAGGUACUGAACAUGCUCUCAAAAUGUUGGUGCCCGGAAAAUACAUGUUUCUGAGUCCAGUUGGGGGCAGUAAAGCAACAUAUCGGAUGCCAACUGCUGAGAAACUCCAAAGAUUUCCCCUGUUCACCCAUGCCAGUGAGGCCUGAUCGCUGAAGUAGACAAACUGAGACACUUGGAGGCUCAGCUGAACUCUUCGGCGCAACAGAGCUUUGGGGGCCAAUUUCUUUGCCACAGAAAGGAAUGUGCAAACUGAAAGACAAUGAAGAAAUCAAAGUUUUAAUUGACUGCCAAAGAGGUUGAAUUUCAAACUGAAGUGAUCGAAAUGAAGAAAGUGAUUGAAGGUAUAUUCACAGAUCCAGUGAAGGGAGUCUACUACUUCACAUUAUGUACGUUUGUCUACAAUGACCACAAGGGUGCUGAUGGUGACAAUGCGGCCAUUUUGAAUCUGAAUAAUGGGGACAGGGUCUGUGUGGAACUGUGGGAACAGUGCCAGGUGUAAGACAACAAUGAUGGGCACACUAGCUUCAGUGUGUAAAAUAGAUGUUAUAACCUGUAAAUGAGAAUUACCUCCCUGCCAUGAAAUGCACACUAGGGGUGUGUCCCAAUAAUCUGUGUGUGUACUCUCACUAAAACCAUUGGAUUGGCAGAGGCAUGGGCUAGUGGUAAUUUCCAACAUAUUUCUUAUUCCAUUCAGCAGUAAUUCCCUCUAAAUUAGUGAUGGGAGGUGAACAAGUGCACACUUUGGGAGUUAUGAGCGCUAAUUGGGACAAAGCCUCUCUCUGAAAUGAAGCAGGAAUUAUCUUGACGGUGACUGAAUUUUGUGAGAAUUAACUCCACUGUAUACCUAUGCUGAAUCCCAAACCAGCCCUGUUUUCUCAUGGACUGCUCUUGCAAGUUGUAUUUCCUCUUAAAGUUUGCAUAUCCACAGUAUUUCUGACUUUUUUUUUGUGAUUUGUUUAUGGAAAAGCCUGGAUUAUAAUGUAUGAACUUUUCAUGCCUCCAUGUUAUUUUUCUAUGCUGUUAAUUGAGUUUAGUGUUUUUUUUAAAUGACUGAUUAACUGUAGACAUUGUUUUUGAACCGUUGAACUUCAGUAUGCCAAUGCAAUUCAUUAGACAUUUUCAGACUGACUGUCAUGUGGUCCUCAGUGUUCUCUGUAUAAUAAUAUACUUUCCAUCUUCUCUAAAAUAAGGUGCAUCUUUGCCUUGAGCCACCAGGUAUAUUUUUAGAGUGAAUAGGAUGACCUUAAUUUACUCUUGGGUACUGUCCUAGAAUCCAGAAAAGUAAUUUAAAAUAUUACAUUUUGAGCCACAAAGAUGCAGCGACUUCUUCCUGCAAAGGUUGUUCAGAGUGUUGUUUUAUCUAGACUUACUCAAAAACACUGACAGUUUGGAUGGAUUCAUUCUUAAUUAAAUAUUUAGUGAGUUCAGGAGAUCUUUUUGAACCUUAUGCAUUGGAAAAAUGUCUGACAAAAUGUAGAAAUGGAGACAAAUGAAUAGACAAGAUGAUGGGCCAAUUUUAACGUCCGCCACAAAGUGGUCAGGGUGUAUAACAACAUCCUAUUGUACUGGGCCCAGUUUCCCAAUUGCAUCUUAAAGCUAAUUUCGUUAGAACCUUGGUAGGAGCGAUGUUAAUUCUAAGCUGUUUCCCAAACCACCGUUGCUAAAGUUGAUCUUGAAAAUGCUCGUUAUUUAACCAUUGCCUCAAACCAACCAGAUACUUUUUUUUUUGCCCUUCCGCAUCACUGUAUAAACAAAAUCAAGAUGUUUCUGUCUUUCUGUGACUGCAGAUAACUUCAGAACGAAUGUGACUACAAAUUUGCGAAUUUUGUUGCAAUUGGUACUAACAAGUGCAAGAUAUAAAGAUGCUUCAAAUGAAAACCGAAAUCACCUAAUUAGUCUAGGCUACAUAGACCUACAUAUUUUAGAAUUUUAAGGUAUUUGUGCGCUACUAUCUGUAAUAUAUGCCUCGAAUAUAGUUCAUGAUUAGUAACGUGUGCAAUGAUGUGCCUUAACUUGAUUUAGUGCAUAAUUAUUGGGUUAAGCGUUAAGCAUUAGAAUAAGCCACCUCAAUAUUGUAGAUGUAGGUGAUUAAACUCUUUAGGAGCUGAUCCGUCAUUGGUAUUGUUGAAUAAUUCUAAUGUGAAAGGGAGGAUGCUGAUCUGAGAGCAGUGCUGCCUUUCUUUUGAUCCUUUCAGUAUCGACACAAGCCUCAACACACACAUAUUGAAUGUUUUCUGCGUGGUGUUUUGGGAAACGAAUGUUACAACUUUGGCCAUUGUAGGAAAGAUGCAUUGUUAAAACACUCGUAACCCAAAGUUUCAUUGCUAUCAGGAAACUAAGCCCUGUUCUUGUGAAG